RNAcentral lists this ribosomal RNA (283 nucleotides) under Phascolarctobacterium faecium. RNAcentral's name for it is "partial 16S ribosomal RNA". It matches the Rfam family "Bacterial small subunit ribosomal RNA", at positions 493 to 776 of the family's 1533-position model. Lineage: Bacteria; Bacillati; Bacillota; Negativicutes; Acidaminococcales; Acidaminococcaceae. The record is from RNAcentral.
UCUUUUCCUUUUUUUUCAGCCGCCGCGGUAAUACGUAGGUGGCGAGCGUUGUCCGGAAUUAUUGGGCGUAAAGAGCAUGUAGGCGGCUUAAUAAGUCGAGCGUGAAAAUGCGGGGCUCAACCCCGUAUGGCGCUGGAAACUGUUAGGCUUGAGUGCAGGAGAGGAAAGGGGAAUUCCCAGUGUAGCGGUGAAAUGCGUAGAUAUUGGGAGGAACACCAGUGGCGAAGGCGCCUUUCUGGACUGUGUCUGACGCUGAGAUGCGAAAGCCAGGGUAGCGAACGGG